GCUCAGGAUGAACGCUAGCUACAGGCUUAACACAUGCAAGUCGAGGGGUAGCAGGGUAGCAAUACCGCUGACGACCGGCGCACGGGUGAGUAACACGUAUCCAACCUUCCCAUAACUCGGGGAUAGCCUUUCGAAAGAAAGAUUAAUACCCGAUAGUACUUUUUCAAGGCAUCUUGAGAAAGUUAAAGAUUUAUUGGUUAUGGAUGGGGAUGCGUUCCAUUAGAUAGUUGGUGAGGUAACGGCUCACCAAGUCUUCGAUGGAUAGGGGUUCUGAGAGGAAGGUCCCCCACAUUGGUACUGAGACACGGACCAAACUCCUACGGGAGGCAGCAGUGAGGAAUAUUGGUCAAUGGGCGAGAGCCUGAACCAGCCAAGUAGC
RNAcentral lists this ribosomal RNA (379 nucleotides) under uncultured Bacteroidales bacterium. RNAcentral's name for it is "bacterial SSU rRNA". It matches the Rfam family "Bacterial small subunit ribosomal RNA", at positions 22 to 400 of the family's 1533-position model. Lineage: Bacteria; Pseudomonadati; Bacteroidota; Bacteroidia; Bacteroidales. The record is from RNAcentral.